UCAUCCGCCUGGGAAGUCCGGUCGCAAGACUGAAACUUAAAGGRAUUGACGGGACCCCGCACAAGCAGUGGAGCAUGUGGUUUAAUUCGACGCUACGCGAGAAACCUUACCAGGGUUUGACAUGGUGGAUAAGGCCUCAGAGAUGAGGAGAUAAUACCCACACACAGGUGGUGCAUGGUUGUCGUCAGCUCGUGUCGUGAGAUGUUGGGUUAAGUCCCGCAACGAGCGCAACCCUCGUUUCUAGUUACCAUCAUUUAGUGGGGGAYUYUAGAGAGWCYSCCGAUGUAAAUCGGAGGAAGGKGGGGRWGACGUCAAAUCAKCAUGCCCUUUAUAUCCUGGGCGACACACGUGCUACAAUGGCCGGUACAAAGAGAAGCGAACCUGCGAAGGCAAGCAAAACUCGGAAAGCCGGUCUCAGUUCAGAUUGAAGUCUGCAAUUCGACUUCAUGAAGGCGGAAUUGCUAGUAAUCGCAGAUCAGCAUGCUGCGGUGAAUACGUUCCCGGGGUUUGUAC
RNAcentral lists this ribosomal RNA (513 nucleotides) under bacterium. Its description in RNAcentral is "bacterial SSU rRNA". It matches the Rfam family "Bacterial small subunit ribosomal RNA", at positions 865 to 1386 of the family's 1533-position model. The record is from RNAcentral.